This 225-nucleotide long non-coding RNA is filed under the name Elaeis guineensis (African oil palm). Its description in RNAcentral is "long non-coding RNA (EGUI_LNC055653)". The record is from RNAcentral. Lineage: Eukaryota; Viridiplantae; Streptophyta; Magnoliopsida; Arecales; Arecaceae.
AAACCAAAUGAAUCUUGAUAUUUGCAAGUCCAAUACUUAGAAAGGCUCUCCUUCAGGUUGCUCACAGCCACACGAAGUUGUCUGGCCUCUAUAGUAUGUCCACAUGAAGACAGAUGCAGAUCAGGGUCCUUGGAAGUGCUGGCUUGCAAGGAACUUGGAGGCUGAUUUCUUCCUUCUUCUUCAAGGGCUUUGGAUGCUCCAAAGGAUGAAGAGAUCUGGAGGGGG